UACGUAGGUGGCAAGCGUUAUCCGGAAUUAUUGGGCGUAAAGCGCGCGCAGGUGGUUUCUUAAGUCUGAUGUGAAAGCCCACGGCUCAACCGUGGAGGGUCAUUGGAAACUGGGAGACUUGAGUGCAGAAGAGGAAAGUGGAAUUCCAUGUGUAGCGGUGAAAUGCGUAGAGAUAUGGAGGAACACCAGUGGCGAAGGCGACUUUCUGGUCUGUAACUGACACUGAGGCGCGAAAGCGUG
Molecule: ribosomal RNA, 240 nt
Filed under: uncultured bacterium
Lineage: Bacteria
Description: partial 16S ribosomal RNA
Rfam family: Bacterial small subunit ribosomal RNA
Source: RNAcentral